Molecule: ribosomal RNA, 120 nt
Filed under: Grosmannia clavigera kw1407
Lineage: Eukaryota; Fungi; Ascomycota; Sordariomycetes; Ophiostomatales; Ophiostomataceae
Source: RNAcentral
ACGUACGGCCAUAGAUACUGGAAAGCACGGGAUCGCGUCCGCUCUCCCCUAGUUAAACCAGUAAUCGGCGGAUUAGUAGUUGGGUCGGUGACGACCAGCGAAUACCCGCUGCUGUACGUU